AGAGUUUGAUCAUGGCUCAGAUUGAACGCUGGCGGCAGGCCUAACACAUGCAAGUCGAGCGGUAGCACAGAGAGCUUGCUCUCGGGUGACGAGCGGCGGACGGGUGAGUAAUGUCUGGGAAACUGCCUGAUGGAGGGGGAUAACUACUGGAAACGGUAGCUAAUACCGCAUAACGUCGCAAGACCAAAGUGGGGGACCUUCGGGCCUCAUGCCAUCAGAUGUGCCCAGAUGGGAUUAGCUAGUAGGUGGGGUAACGGCUCACCUAGGCGACGAUCCCUAGCUGGUCUGAGAGGAUGACCAGCCACACUGGAACUGAGACACGGUCCAGACUCCUACGGGAGGCAGCAGUGGGGAAUAUUGCACAAUGGGCGCAAGCCUGAUGCAGCCAUGCCGCGUGUNACUUUCAGCGGGGAGGAAGGCGAUAAGGUUAAUAACCUUGUCGAUUGACGUUACCCGCAGAAGAAGCACCGGCUAACUCCGUGCCAGCAGCCGCGGUAAUACGGAGGGUGCAAGCGUUAAUCGGAAUUACUGGGCGUAAAGCGCACGCAGGCGGUCUGUCAAGUCGGAUGUGAAAUCCCCGGGCUCAACCUGGGAACUGCAUUCGAAACUGGCAGGCUAGAGUCUUGUAGAGGGGGGUAGAAUUCCAGGUGUAGCGGUGAAAUGCGUAGAGAUCUGGAGGAAUACCGGUGGCGAAGGCGGCCCCCUGGACAAAGACUGACGCUCAGGUGCGAAAGCGUGGGGAGCAAACAGGAUUAGAUACCCUGGUAGUCCACGCCGUAAACGAUGUCGAUUUGGAGGUUGUGCCCUUGAGGCGUGGCUUCCGGAGCUAACGCGUUAAAUCGACCGCCUGGGGAGUACGGCCGCAAGGUUAAAACUCAAAUGAAUUGACGGGGGCCCGCACAAGCGGUGGAGCAUGUGGUUUAAUUCGAUGCAACGCGAAGAACCUUACCUGGUCUUGACAUCCACAGAACUUNUUGGUGCCUUCGGGAACUGUGAGACAGGUGCUGCAUGGCUGUCGUCAGCUCGUGUUGUGAAAUGUUGGGUUAAGUCCCGCAACGAGCGCAACCCUUAUCCUUUGUUGCCAGCGGUUCGGCCGGGAACUCAAAGGAGACUGCCAGUGAUAAACUGGAGGAAGGUGGGGAUGACGUCAAGUCAUCAUGGCCCUUACGACCAGGGCUACACACGUGCUACAAUGGCAUAUACAAAGAGAAGCGACCUCGCGAGAGCAAGCGGACCUCAUAAAGUAUGUCGUAGUCCGGAUUGGAGUCUGCAACUCGACUCCAUGAAGUCGGAAUCGCUAGUAAUCGUAGAUCAGAAUGCUACGGUGAAUACGUUCCCGGGCCUUGUACACACCGCCCGUCACACCAUGGGAGUGGGUUGCAAAAGAAGUAGGUAGCUUAACCUUCGGGAGGGCGCUUACCACUUUGUGAUUCAUGACUGGGGUGAAGUCGUAACAAGGUAACCGUAGGGGAACCUGCGGUUGGAUCACCU
RNAcentral lists this ribosomal RNA (1491 nucleotides) under Klebsiella quasipneumoniae. Its description in RNAcentral is "bacterial SSU rRNA". It matches the Rfam family "Bacterial small subunit ribosomal RNA". Lineage: Bacteria; Pseudomonadati; Pseudomonadota; Gammaproteobacteria; Enterobacterales; Enterobacteriaceae. The record is from RNAcentral.